UACGUAGGGGCCAAGCGUUGUCCGGAUUUAUUGGGCGUAAAGAGCUCGUAGGCGGUUGGGUAAGUCGGGUGUGAAAACUCCAGGCUCAACUUGGAGAUGCCACCCGAUACUGCUCUGACUUGAGUUCGGUAGGGGAGUGGGGAAUUCCUGGUGUAGCGGUGAAAUGCGCAGAUAUCAGGAGGAACACCGGUGGCGAAGGCGGAUCUCUGGGCCUUACCUGACGCUGAGGCGCGAAAGCUAGGGGAGCGAACAGG
This 254-nucleotide ribosomal RNA is filed under the name uncultured bacterium. Its description in RNAcentral is "partial 16S ribosomal RNA". It matches the Rfam family "Bacterial small subunit ribosomal RNA", at positions 524 to 776 of the family's 1533-position model. The record is from RNAcentral.